Molecule: non-coding RNA, 169 nt
Filed under: Veillonella sp. oral taxon 780 str. F0422
Lineage: Bacteria; Bacillati; Bacillota; Negativicutes; Veillonellales; Veillonellaceae
Also listed under: 1 other name
Source: RNAcentral
AUCAAACAUUCGGGAAUAGGUGCGAAAGCAUAAUAGAGAAGCCAGUUAAAGUCUGGCACGGUCCCGCCACUGUAAAGCAGAGCAAAUCCAAUUAUGUCACUGGGAAACUGGGAAGGCUGGAGGAGCGUUGAAGCUGAGUCAGGAGAACUGCCUAUUCAUCAUUCACCAC